UGCCGAACAACCAGCCCUGAAAAUGGAUGGCGCUCAAGCAUUCUCCCGAUACUUGGCCGUCGGUUAGCACUUGAGGCAAUUUACUUUGUCCCGCGAAGCUCCGACGAGUAGGAGGUGCGCUGCGGUGUGCGCCGAAGGUACCGGCGUGAGCCGGACUGGAGCCGCCGCUGGUGAAUAUCUUGGUGGUAGUAGCAAAUACACGAGAGGGUCCCUUGUGGACUGAGGUGGAGAAGGGUUCCAUGUGAACAUCAGUUGAACAUGGGUUAGUCGAUCCUAAGCCUAAGCCUUCGGGCGUGCUCCAAACCAAGGGCUAGCGACAAGAGAUGAAGAGAGAGACCACUCGUUUCUCACUUCUACUUGCCAUGAAUUUGCAAACAGCUCANGAGUGUUAAGGGCGAAAGGGAAUAC
RNAcentral lists this ribosomal RNA (408 nucleotides) under Nebalia sp. RNAcentral describes it as "LSU rRNA". It matches the Rfam family "Eukaryotic large subunit ribosomal RNA", at positions 1295 to 1607 of the family's 3401-position model. Lineage: Eukaryota; Metazoa; Arthropoda; Malacostraca; Leptostraca; Nebaliidae. The record is from RNAcentral.